CAUGAAUAGUGUGGCAUCAACUAUUCGGAUAUAAUUUAGCCUUUGUAAACAGAAUGUGUUUGUGAGAAUUGUGAGAGAUUACUUGGCGUGUUGGAUUUUGCUUUCUGGCAGCUGAUGAUCCUUAUGCUCUACAUGAAUUACCAGACCACACAGCAUGUCCUGUGGGACAGGAGAAAUAUGGAGAAUGCAGCACACUUGCUUCCUACCGAAGUAGGUAUUUUCUUUCCAGAUUUCCUUCAGUUGUGAAGUCUGACGAUUUCAAUUUUUUUGGAUGAAAUAGAAAACGCUCACCUAAAAAUGAUUAAAAUCAAGUUGUUUUGGGACAGACAGCAGAGGAUGAAGAAACUUAUUUUGACUGAAGUCAUUGGAUGAGACAUGGCUGUGGACAAAUUCAGAGAAGAUAUAUUUAAGAAGAACCUUACACUUAUGUCAGAAUUUUUAAUCACCAGAGAUCGGCAAAGGCAAAGGAGCAGAGGAUACAGUAAUGAAGAAUAAAGUAUCUACUUUCUUGAAAAUCUGAGUCUAUCAGGGAGAGAGAUAGCACUCCAAUAGUGGAUUAAUUGUGAUUAUGAACAUCUACUAUAAUGGAUAGUAGAGAAGAUAAUUUGUAUGUAAUUGAAGGACCACAUUCUUCUUAGCUUGAAGUCAUUGUGAUAGCAUCACAUGGAGCCUACCUGGCAUGUCAUAAGCAGCAAUUCUGAGGUUUCGAAAGAGCUUCUUGCUGAACUUCUUGUUCAGUUUGCCUCCACGCUUUCCCCUACCACCAGAAAAUUUAAACAAAACAACCUGCUUUUGCCUGAAUGACCUAGGUAACAACCUACUUUAGCUUGAGCUGCUUAGAUAUUUCAGCUAAAAAUGGCUUAUUUCCAUGAGUCACCUGGAUAAUUGCAUUACUCUGCUGGCCCACUUAGCUGGGUGGGCCAGCAGGUGUUAAGUGCAAGUGUCAACGAGUACUUCAUUGUUUUCCACUCUAUGGAUAGUACUGUGACAGUUUCUUAGUGCCUGGAGAAGUACCUCUUGAUUCAAUUUCAGCCCUUGAGCUUCCUUCUUUUAGAUGGAUCAUCCUUGCUAUGUGACGAAAUAGCCCCCUUCUAUCUCCGUAGGGCAACUUUGUAUCAUGUAUGUGGGUGUGUGUGUAGCUUUGUGGUUUUGAAGAAAAAUUACUUCAACAAGUACUUCUUAAAUACUUCCUGGCGGAGCGCUGUCUGUGGGAGAUACAAAAGGAGAUAAAGACAAGAUAUUUUCCUCAAGAUACAACUGUUUAGGGAUUACAGGCAUGAGCCACCAUGCCCGGCCACAUUGUCUUUUUUUUUUUUUUUUUCUCCCUGCAAAUGUAUUAUAUGGUUUACUCUGACAACAUAUAACCUAAUUUUCUAGAAUGGCAUCGCUGAAGAAAGAUAGUUGUAUGCCUCAUUUAGAGGGUAACUCAGGGUUCGUGGUUCUCCAAAGGAAAGACGGCAGACAGUUUUGGCUACAAAAACACUUGAGGUAUUUAGAAAAAAAUCCACACUGUAUACUUUACUUUUAUGACCGAGUUUUUUAGAUGCUUUUGAGAACACAAAAUAAAUAGAAAACACAUACAGGAAAAGAAAAAAAAAAAAAA
This 1603-nucleotide long non-coding RNA is filed under the name Macaca mulatta (Rhesus monkey). RNAcentral's name for it is "lncRNA (ENSMMUG00000055284.1)". Lineage: Eukaryota; Metazoa; Chordata; Mammalia; Primates; Cercopithecidae. The record is from RNAcentral.